Non-coding RNA from Bos taurus (domestic cattle), 72 nucleotides. The record is from Rfam. NCBI's taxonomy places the organism in Eukaryota, Metazoa, Chordata, Mammalia, Artiodactyla, Bovidae.
UCCCCUGUGGCUCAGCUGGUUGAGAAUCUGCCUGCAAUGCAGAAGACCUGGGUUUGAUCCCUGGGUUGGGAA